GACGAACGCUGGCGGCGUGCCUAAUACAUGCAAGUCGAGCGGACUGAAUGGGAGCUUGCUCUUGUUCGGUCAGCGGCGGACGGGUGAGUAACACGUGGGCAACCUGCCCGCAAGACCGGGAUAACUCCGGGAAACCGGAGCUAAUACCGGAUAACACCGAAGACCGCAUGGUCUUUGGUUGAAAGGCGGCGCAAGCUGCCACUUGCGGAUGGGCCCGCGGCGCAUUAGCUAGUUGGUGAGGUAACGGCUCACCAAGGCGACGAUGCGUAGCCGGCCUGAGAGGGUGACCGGCCACACUGGGAGUGAGACACGGCCCAGACUCCUACGGGAGGCAGCAGUAGGGAAUCUUCCGCAAUGGGCGAAAGCCUGACGGAGCGACGCCGCGGGAGCGAAGAAGGCCUUCGGGUCGUAAAGCUCUGUUGUGAGGGACGAAGGAGCGCCGUUUGAAGAAGGCGGCGCGGUGACGGUACCUCACGAGGAAGCCCCGGCUAACUACGUG
RNAcentral lists this ribosomal RNA (499 nucleotides) under uncultured bacterium. RNAcentral describes it as "partial 16S ribosomal RNA". It matches the Rfam family "Bacterial small subunit ribosomal RNA", at positions 28 to 507 of the family's 1533-position model. The record is from RNAcentral.